This 429-nucleotide ribosomal RNA is filed under the name Actinomycetes bacterium. RNAcentral describes it as "Actinobacteria bacterium partial 16S ribosomal RNA". It matches the Rfam family "Bacterial small subunit ribosomal RNA", at positions 355 to 776 of the family's 1533-position model. Lineage: Bacteria; Bacillati; Actinomycetota; Actinomycetes. The record is from RNAcentral.
UAGGGAAUCUUCCGCAAUGGGCGAAAGCCUGACGGAGCAACGCCGCGUGAGUGAUGAAGGUCUUCGGAUCGUAAAACUCUGUUAUUAGGGAAGAACAAAUGUGUAAGUAACUAUGCACGUCUUGACGGUACCUAAUCAGAAAGCCACGGCUAACUACGUGCCAGCAGCCGCGGUAAUACGUAGGUGGCAAGCGUUGUCCGGAAUUAUUGGGCGUAAAGCGCGCGUAGGCGGUUUUUUAAGUCUGAUGUGAAAGCCCAUGGCUCAACCGUGGAGGGUCAUUGGAAACUGGAAAACUUGAGUGCAGAAGAGGAAAGUGGAAUUCCAUGUGUAGCGGUGAAAUGCGCAGAGAUAUGGAGGAACACCAGUGGCGAAGGCGACUUUCUGGUCUGUAACUGACGCUGAUGUGCGAAAGCGUGGGGAGCAAACAGG